This is a long non-coding RNA of Sycon ciliatum, 1760 nucleotides long. RefSeq lists it as uncharacterized. The record is from RefSeq and is a predicted model, not a curated record. The transcript is spliced from 4 exons. Lineage: Eukaryota; Metazoa; Porifera; Calcarea; Leucosolenida; Sycettidae.
UUGUACAAGAACUAAACACCUCAGGAUCAAUAGAGAAGCCUGGUUUUUGGAUCAGUUUGUUCGGUAAUUGACUUUACUUGGCCUGUUGGAGUGUUCCGGUGGGCAAUGGAUCGUGGUGACGCUGCGUUCGUCCGAAGGGCUUGCGUUUAUGCGCUGGAACGGGAGUGUGUCUGGAGUUGACGAGACUGAACUCAUCAGCCGGUCGGCCAUUUGAUCACACGAGAUUUGAUCGAUGCCCCCUUCUGUCACUCAUCAGUGAUGGGUCGAGCGCAGGUGUUCACCGAAGUUCGCAGCAUUUCUGUCAAUGGCAGUUGUGCGCCUACUGUACAUUGCGACAGGCGAAUGGAGAGUACUUGUACCGCCACAGCUCGGAUACAGCAGGAGCUGAAAGACCUUACGACCGGCAGCACACGCCGCCAGAGUGCGUGAGGAACACGCAGCCGGUUGAUAGCGCUCGUUCCGCUUUUGAGACUGGUUGGAACAUCCUGUCCGACUAACGGAACUUCAGCAAGGCAGAUGUAACAUGAUCGUCAUAUACCAGAUGAUCUCUGUCCGUGCGCUCUCCAUUUGGCGCACUGUUUUGCCGUGCAUCUUCGUCAGCAUGUGUGCGUACUGCUUCCUGUCUUCUGCCUUCCUGCUCGCCGUAACCAAGGCACUUGCACCGGUGCACCUGUGGCAUUCACGGGCCACUUUCAGAGCGGUACGUCACACAGCCGGCUCUACCACUACUACUGUAAUGAGUUUCGGCAUCUCCAUCGUGUUGCCAGGACUGUGUGGAAGUUCGACUGGUAUGCCGCAUCUCUGACAUUCACGAGCCACUUUCAGAGCGAUGUGUCACACAGCCGCCUCUACUAGUAUGCUGGAGUCAUGUUCGGCGUCACCAUCGUACUUACCGGCGUCACCAUCAUAUUCACCGGCGUCACCAUCAUAUUCACCGGCGUCACCAUCGUACUUACCUAGCGUCACCAUCGUACUUACCGGCGUCACCAUUAUAUUCACCGGCGUCACCAUCGUACUUACCUAGCGUCACCAUCGUACUUACCGGCGUCACCAUCGUACCUACCGGCUUCACCAUCGUACUUACCGGCGUCACCAUCAUAUUCACCGGCGUCGCCAUCGUACUUACAUUUGUUGCCAGGACGGACUAUGUGGAAGUUUGACUGGUACUUCGCACCGGUGUCAUUCACCAGCUGCUCCCAGAGGUGUACAUCGCAAAGGCGGCUAUAGUUACUUGUACUCACGGCGUACUCAACCUACUUGCUGCUCUUGUCAGGGAUGCGUGCACGUUUGACUGGUACUCCGCAAGACCCCGAGCAGCCAAUGCCAGUUUCAUGUCAAACUGAAGUCCCGAUGGGUGGAUCCAUUGCUGUUGGCCGUUCCGGUCUGUGCGUUGCUGCUGGUACGUACCAUGUACGUGGCCAGGAAGCGGAGACCUAGGAACAAACUAGCAGGGGGUAAUAAAAUUCCUCACUUGAUUCUCCUUACUUGCGUUACUGUUGGCCCGCUUGUCCUUCCUGCUGUUUGGACUUGUCUGUGUUGGCUCAAUAGUCGUUUGCCUGUCGUCAAUCUCGCGUGCCAACGUGACGUUGGUGGUGCUGAUGGUUGUCAUUGUUAAAGACUCUUCUCGGCAAACUUUUCAGAUCUGUGAUCAAGCCUGAGAGUGCCGGAGUCGCCGGCAAGCUUCUUGUAUCCCAGCAAAACCGACUGCAGCUGGCGCGUGUAUGAGUGUGAGUGCUUGCGCGCACCUAGUACCUGUGAGU